GGACCCCAUCGAUUCUAAGGAGUGCCUCCGGUUUGCCACCGAUCCCCUUGCCUUUUCACUUUUACAAGGUCUAGGCUUUGGUUGGCUCUAGGUGUACGACCGGUCAAUCUUCUUGGAGAGGUCAGCAUCAGCUACUUAGAAGGGAUUCCAAGCAAAGAAGGUAGGUUCCUCGUGGACUGCUUUAUAGCUUUGUUUGUCACCCUUCUUUGUGGCUGAGGAGUGUUCCUGAUUCCAAGCUACACUUUCGAGUACUUGGUUUCUGUGAUGCUGGCUUAAACGGUUCCAACCGACCCGUCUUGAAACACGGACCAAGGAGUCUAACAUAUGUGCGAGUAUGCGGGUUGCAAGCCUGUAUGCGCAAUGAAAGUGAGAGUAGGGAGAAGUUGGUUUUCCAUUCUUCACACCUACGACCGACCACGAUCUCAGAGAGAGGUUUGAGUUGGAGCAUAUCUGUUAGGACCCGAAAGAUGGUGAACUAUGCCUGGGGUAGAAUGAAGUCAGGGGAAACCCCUGAUGGAGGUUCGUAGCGAUACUGACGUGCAAAUCGUUCGUCAAACUUGGGUAUAGGG
RNAcentral lists this ribosomal RNA (569 nucleotides) under Besnoitia caprae. RNAcentral describes it as "LSU rRNA". It matches the Rfam family "Eukaryotic large subunit ribosomal RNA", at positions 426 to 922 of the family's 3401-position model. Lineage: Eukaryota; Apicomplexa; Conoidasida; Eucoccidiorida; Sarcocystidae. The record is from RNAcentral.